UGUACAGAAAACUAUAUCUAUUCCAGAAGACUUGAGAGCUGGAAACUCUCCAGGAAAAUGUACACUUUUUCUGUAUAGCGUGUUUAAGAGUAGGGUUUCCUUGCUGGUGCUCGGAUGGAGGUGACUCUGGGCACAGGCUUGAGGAGGGGAAACCACAGCUGCUGCUGAAGCUGCAUCAACACUAGGAAACGAGCUGGUCGGACCACGGUGCCUGGGUGCUAUUAUUUUAGCCUACGACUUGUACGCAGGCUGGGACCGAGCUUUGCCAAUUUGCGUCGCGCACUGGCAGAAGGCACACGGAGCAAACUUUCGCAGCGAAGCCGUGCGAGGGUCUCGGGCGCUGGUGCACAGAGCAGAAGUGUAAGUUCAUCUCUUCUGCGCACACCUCACUGCUGAAGACCUCUCGGGAAACAAAAACAAAACCUUGGCCCUUCCGGAUCUUUGAACAGUGAAUGAAAUAUGUGUAUUUUCCUAUAAAGUCUAUGCGUACUUCUAAAACUUCUAACAGAAGUUUCAUUUUGGAAGUUUAAGAAUCAAGAACAUGAAGGAGCAAAAAUGAAAAAAGAACCCUGCCAAAAAGGUCUCUGGGAAAGAGCGCAGUACGUGCCUCUUGCCUUUGAACAACCUGCCUGUUGAACAGCAGUGAGAGGGAAAUAUCGCUGGCAUGCAGAGAAGUAGCAGUGACAGCGUGGCAAAGAAGGAAGAG
Long non-coding RNA from Struthio camelus australis, 706 nucleotides. RefSeq lists it as uncharacterized. NCBI's taxonomy places the organism in Eukaryota, Metazoa, Chordata, Aves, Struthioniformes, Struthionidae. The record is from RefSeq and is a predicted model, not a curated record.